CAUCUCUCUUACACUGAGAAGACAUCUGUGUAAAUCAGAUUAUCUUG
This 47-nucleotide transfer RNA is filed under the name Bathygadus melanobranchus (Vaillant's grenadier). Its description in RNAcentral is "partial tRNA-Val". The record is from RNAcentral. Lineage: Eukaryota; Metazoa; Chordata; Actinopteri; Gadiformes; Macrouridae.